This is a non-coding RNA of Arachis ipaensis, 260 nucleotides long. NCBI's taxonomy places the organism in Eukaryota, Viridiplantae, Streptophyta, Magnoliopsida, Fabales, Fabaceae. The record is from RefSeq and is a predicted model, not a curated record.
CUUUGAGUAUUUCUGAGAUGUUAUUUCAUUUGACACCACCUACAAUACAAACAGGUAUAAUUUGGUUUGUGGUUCUUUUGUCGGGGUGAAUCACCACAGUCAAUCAACACUUCUUGGAUGAGCUUUGAUGAAAAACGAAGAAAUUAAAUCAUUCAAAUGGUUAUUUCAAUGUUGGCUUCGUUGCAUGAGAGGAAAUGCUCCUAAAGGGAUUCUCACCGAUCAAUGUGUGUCAAUGAAAAGGGCUAUAGAGGCUUGUACAC